AAAAAAUAACCAUAUAAGAUAAAAUAUUUCAUAAUUCUGACUUAAGUGUCAAUAAACUUUAAAAUUAUCUUGCUGUGGUCAAAACACUUUUAAAGUAAAAUAAGCUAAACUUGAAUCUCUAACUCCCAGAAUUUUACAAAACAAAACAAAACAUGUACUUGAUUCACUUACUUCUGGAGAGAAGUAUACCUUAGCUCUUUCUCUGGAAUGUUUUUGACAUUUUGAUUCAGCCUAAAUAUUACUGCUAAUAACUCAGCCUGGCAUCUGGAAGAAAUGCUUUGAAAUAUAACUUUCUAAAUGGGGGUGAGGGGGAUUACUAUUUCAUACAUGUUGUUAUAUUAAAUUAUUAUGGUUAUUAAUUGGGCCGUGGAAAUAGAAUCUGUAAAGAAUCUUUGCAUAAUGAAAUUUGUAUCCUUUGUAAAUUAAACUAUUCUCUUGUACUUACAAAAGGUCAUUGUGGGGAGUAGGCCCUCUCCAAUCAGAAAAUUUUCAUAUUUUUUACUAUCACCUAAUAUACUUUUUCCAUGAAUACAUCCGUCUGUUUUAUUGCUGGUUGUUUCACAGUCAGUCCUAACAUUAAAAAUGUUUUUGGCAUCUCUUUUUUAUAACCUAUUAAUAACCUAAUAAUAAAACUUAAUGGUAAAUAUAAGUGAGAUUAGAUUGGAGCCAAAUAGAUUAAAAUGGAAUAAUUAGUGUUACUACUUUUCCACUUUGAGCCAAGAAUUAUUUCAUCACCAUUUCAACUCUUUAGAUAUUAUAUAUCUGGCCAUGCACUUUAAAUUUGAAAUAUUAAAUUUAUUUAUGCAAAAUACAGAAAUUGUUGUAUCAUAAAAUUGUGAUUAUUUUACAAAAUUAGACUUACCAGAAAGAAGUAUUUCCAAUACAAACAAAUGGCUAUAGUUUAUAAUUUAUAUUAUAACAUGUUUUCAAAAGGAACAUAUACAUUGUACUGUAAGACAGGUCCAUACCAUGUCCAUAGGUCUUGAGGAUUUUGAGAAUACAGGCUACACUUCCUCUAGAGACUACCACCAGUUGUGGAGGCCUAAAAUUUUUUCAAAACACUAGCAUAGCACUUGGAAUCAAAUUUUUAGCAUGGGAAGAACCUUAGAAAUAUUAUUCAGCCAGCAUUUCCCAUGCUGUAAGAAAUCAACAUACUACUUGCUAUGAGUCUUACAAAGAAGCACCAAUAUUGUAACUUUUUAAUUUUUUUUUUAAGAUAAAAAUGAAGCAACUCUGACCCAGUUGAGCAGCUGUACUUUCUUCCUCUAAGACAUCUCAUAAAUAUCUUAUGAUUCAUAAAGGGUUAUUUGGAAAACUAUUUGGAGAUUCACUACCCUGAUUUUAGAUGAAACUGCAUGGCAUUCACAUUCCUGGCCUGGGUUUCUAGAAAUUAUACCCUUAUUAUUUGUCUGACAUUGUAAACUGACAUUGUUAGGUAUUGGGUUCCCUUUGACCAAAACAACUUUAGCUGUAACAGUGAAAGUAGGUAUAUUAUUUGCCUAUAAAAUUUGCCUUAAGACCUGGUUUUCUCAGUAAAUAAAUACUUCAUUGUGGAUGUC
This is a long non-coding RNA of Herpailurus yagouaroundi (jaguarundi), 1559 nucleotides long. RefSeq lists it as uncharacterized. The record is from RefSeq and is a predicted model, not a curated record. Lineage: Eukaryota; Metazoa; Chordata; Mammalia; Carnivora; Felidae. The transcript is spliced from 2 exons.